UGAUUUCUUAUGUAGAAGGUUCGCCUGGUCCUGUAGUAGGUUCCCCUGAUCCUGGUUUGCUUUCUUAUGUAGUAGGUUCCCCUGGUCCUGUAGUAGGUUCCCCUGGUCCUGGUUUGCUUUCUUAUGUAGUAGGUUCCCCUGGUCCUGUAGUAGGUUCCCCUGGUCCUGGUUUGCUUUCUUAUGUAGUAGGUUCCCCUGGUCCUGUAGUAGGUUCCCCUGGUCCUGUAGUAGGUUCCCCUGAUCCUGGUUUGCUUUCUUAUGUAGUAGGUUCCCCUGGUCCUGUAGUAGGUUCCCCUGGUCCUGGUUUGAUUUCUUAUGUAGUAUAUUUCCCUGGUCCUGUAGUAGGUUCCCCUGGUCCUGGUUUGAUUUUUUAUGUAGUAGGUUCCCCUGGUCCUGGUUUGAUUACUUAUGUAGAAGGUUCCCCUGGUCCUGUAGUAGGUUCCUCUGGUCCUGGUUUGAUUUCUUAUGUAGUAGGUUACCCUGGUCCUGGUUUGAUUUCUUAUGUAGAAGGUUCCCCUGGUCCUGUAGUAGGUUCCCCUGAUCCUGGUUUGCUUUCUUAUGUAGUAGGUUCCCCUGGUCCUGUAGUAGGUUCCUCUGGUCCUGGUUUGAUUUCUUAUGUAGUAGGUUCCCCUGGUCCUGUAGUAGGUUCCUCUGGUCCUGGUUUGAUUUCUUAUGUAGUAGGUUCCCCUGGUCCUGGUUUGAUUUCUUAUGUAGAAGGUUCGCCUGGUCCUGUAGUAGGUUCCCCUGAUCCUGGUUUGAUUUCUUAUGUAGUAGGUUCCACUGGUCCUGGUUUGAUUUCUUAUGUAGAAGGUUUCCCUGGUCCUGUAGUAGGUUCCCCUGGUCCUCCUGGUCCUGUAGUAGGUUCCCCUGGUCCUGGUUUGAUUUCUUAUGUAGUAGGUUCCCCUGGUCCUGGUUUGUACAUGUAUAAUCUAAAAUUUCUUGAUCAGAAAAACAUUUCAUGACCAGCGCAAGCAGUAAGCAUCUUUGAUUUUGACACUUAAUGUUUGUGUAUUAUGCUGUUUCUCAAAAAGUACCGUAGUUAAAAGAUCUUUCUCAAAUUUCAUAUGUAGGUUCCAUUCGGUCCAUUGUUGUGAAUGUUUAAAUUUUUGAAAAAUUGACAGUUGAAGUUUUUUAUCACUUUUUCUCAAGAAAUACUGGAGAGAUUUUCCCCAAUUUUAUAUGUAGGUUCCUUUGUGGUAGUGCUUUAAUUUGAGACUGAUCAGAAUUUUGGAUUUUCGUGGUUUAAUUGAAUGGUAUCACAAUUUCUCGGACAUCUUUUUACACAUUAAGUACUAUUCUAAUCAACCAACAAUUACCUCCCUUUGAAAGGACUUUGGUGAAACACAGUUGUACACAAUUUUAAUCAAAAGUUACGAGAUGAAUUUGCUGUUGACAAGAUAUUUAGAUCCAACAGAUAAAAAAACAAAAGAUUGAACUUGCAGAGAACUUAUAGGGCUUCCUUUGUAUGUACAUGUAUGUUGUUUGUUACAUGUUGUUGUGGCUACUGUAAUGCUCCCAAUACCAACUGAUCUGACCUAAAAAGAUGCAUGUCAUUAGGAUAAUCUCAACUUUAUUUUUUUUGACAUUUAAUUUUCAACAUUCAAAGGACUAAUCAAUAUUUAUUUUUAAUUCAAAAUAAGUCCAUGCUAUUAUAACAAUGAGCUCAGUAAAAGUGUGUUUAACACUACAGGAAAGCAGUGGUGUACGUCUGCUAGGUUCCAGAACUAAAAUUGCACUAGAGACAUAUACAAUGUAAUAAGUGUGCUAGUAUGUUCAACUGAAAAUGUUGACAAUGCUUGUAAUCCUCACAGACAAUGGCUGCCGGAUGCAUGCUAUUUCCGCCAAACUUAGUGAAAGUUUUUGUGUUGGCAUGUAAUUAUGGAUGUUUCUUUAUCACGACAUAUUUGUUACAUGCAAAUGGUACUUCUAGUUACAGCUGAAGAUAUAAACUAUACUGUUGUUCAAUUGGAAUACAAUUGCUCUUAAUUUGUCCAUUUCAAGAUGUCUGUUACUUCAGAUAUUAAAGCAUGAACCUCAGUUACCACUACCGUAUAUCAGUCAUUGAUAAUCAUUUAUGUAAAUGUUUUCCAGAUUAAUUUUCAAACAAUGUUACAACCCUUAUGCAUGCUGUAUGACAUUUCAGCAUUUUCCUAAUCAAUGGUGAACAGCAAUCUUGGAGUGUUUUUUUUUUAUUAAAGAACCGUAAAAAUCUCGUGUAAUUUGUACAGUUGAGUGUCACCUUUGCAUGUUCAUUGUAUCUUAGCACAUAAAAGCUGGAGGGGAGAGGGGGAUUUUUUUCUGCUUUCUUGUUUAUAUAUAAUGUUGAAAGAAAUACACUACAAUGUAAAAUACAAUUCAAAGUGACUUUCACAAGUGUUCUACUGUAAAACAAUGUGACAAAUUUUUAGCUGACCUGGCCCGAAGCAACGUCCUUCGUCCCGCAACUUUUUCCUUUAAAUCGCUACUAGUCCUUAACGGCUCAGUGGAUUUUGACCAAAUUUUGUAUAAACUGAGGUGUGUGGGCCCCCUUCUUUGGGGCAGAUUAUGGGAAAUAGAGGA
This 2559-nucleotide long non-coding RNA is filed under the name Mizuhopecten yessoensis (Yesso scallop). Its description in RNAcentral is "uncharacterized LOC110467079, transcript variant X3". Lineage: Eukaryota; Metazoa; Mollusca; Bivalvia; Pectinida; Pectinidae. The record is from RNAcentral.